GGAGUUGUAGCUCAAUGGUAGAGUGCUUGCCUAGAAUGCAUGAGGCACUGGGUUCGAUCCCCAGCACCA
RNAcentral lists this transfer RNA (69 nucleotides) under Ictidomys tridecemlineatus (thirteen-lined ground squirrel). Its description in RNAcentral is "Spermophilus tridecemlineatus (thirteen-lined ground squirrel) tRNA". It matches the Rfam family "tRNA". From Rfam's summary of the family: Transfer RNA (tRNA) molecules are approximately 80 nucleotides in length. Their secondary structure includes four short double-helical elements and three loops (D, anti-codon, and T loops). Further hydrogen bonds mediate the characteristic L-shaped molecular structure. tRNAs have two regions of fundamental functional importance: the anti-codon, which is responsible for specific mRNA codon recognition, and the 3' end, to which the tRNAs corresponding amino acid is attached (by aminoacyl-tRNA synthetases). tRNAs cope with the degeneracy of the genetic code in two manners: having more than one tRNA (with a specific anti-codon) for a particular amino acid; and 'wobble' base-pairing, i.e. permitting non-standard base-pairing at the 3rd anti-codon position. Lineage: Eukaryota; Metazoa; Chordata; Mammalia; Rodentia; Sciuridae. The record is from Rfam by way of RNAcentral.